CCCUUAGAGUUUGAUCAUGGCUCAGAACGAACGCUGGCGGCACGCCUAACACAUGCAAGUCGAACGAUAAGCUAUCUUCGGAUAGUGGACAGUGGCGGACGGGUGAGUAACACGUGGGAACAUACCUUUUGGUACGGAACAACCAUUGGAAACGAUGGCUAAUACCGUAUAAGCCCUUAGGGGGAAAGAUUUAUCGCCGAAAGAUUGGCCCGCGCUAGAUUAGUUAGUUGGUGAGGUAAAAGCUCACCAAGGCGACGAUCUAUAGCUGGUUUGAGAGGAUGAUCAGCCACACUGGGACUGAGACACGGCCCAGACUCCUACGGGAGGCAGCAGUGGGGAAUAUUGGACAAUGGGGGCAACCCUGAUCCAGCGAUGCCGCGUGAGUGAUGAAGGCCUUAGGGUUGUAAAACUCUUUCAGGGGUGAAGAUAAUGACGGUAACCCCAGAAGAAGCUCCGGCUAACUCCGUGCCAGCAGCCGCGGUAAUACGGAGGGAGCUAGCGUUGUUCGGAAUUACUGGGCGUAAAGCGCGCGUAGGCGGCUUUGCAAGUAGAGGGUGAAAUCCCGGGGCUUAACCUCGGAACUGCCUCCUAAACUGCAGAGCUAGAAUCCUGGAGAGGUGAGCGGAAUUCCUAGUGUAGAGGUGAAAUUCGUAGAUAUUAGGAAGAACACCAGUGGCGAAGGCGGCUCACUGGACAGGUAUUGACGCUGAGGUGCGAAAGCGUGGGGAGCGAACAGGAUUAGAUACCCUGGUAGUCCACGCCGUAAACGAUGGGUGCUAGGUGUUG
RNAcentral lists this ribosomal RNA (786 nucleotides) under uncultured bacterium. Its description in RNAcentral is "bacterial SSU rRNA". It matches the Rfam family "Bacterial small subunit ribosomal RNA", at positions 1 to 825 of the family's 1533-position model. The record is from RNAcentral.